GGGGUUGUGGCUCAGUGUCAGAGCGCUCACCUAACAUGUGUGAGGCACUGGGUUCAAUCCUCAGCACCA
This 69-nucleotide transfer RNA is filed under the name Ictidomys tridecemlineatus (thirteen-lined ground squirrel). RNAcentral's name for it is "Spermophilus tridecemlineatus (thirteen-lined ground squirrel) tRNA". It matches the Rfam family "tRNA". Rfam says of the family: Transfer RNA (tRNA) molecules are approximately 80 nucleotides in length. Their secondary structure includes four short double-helical elements and three loops (D, anti-codon, and T loops). The record is from Rfam by way of RNAcentral. Lineage: Eukaryota; Metazoa; Chordata; Mammalia; Rodentia; Sciuridae.